GUAGGUGGCAAGCGUUGUCCGGGAAUUAUUGGGGCGUAAAGCGCGCGCAGGCGGUUCUUUAAGCCUGAUGUGAAAGCCCACGGGCUCAACCGUGGAGGGUCAUUGGAAACUGGAGAACUUGAGUACAGAAGAGGAAAGCGGAAUUCCACGUGUAGCGGUGAAAUGCGUAGAGAUGUGGAGGAACACCAGUGGCGAAGGCGGCUUUCUGGUCUGUAACUGACGCUGAGGCGCGAGAGCGUGGGGAGCAAACAGGAUUAGAUACCCUGGUAGUCCACGCCGUAAACGAUGAGUGCUAAGUGUUAGGGGGUUUCCGCCCCUUAGUGCUGCAGCUAACGCAUUAAGCACUCCGCCUGGGGAGUACGGCCGCAAAGGCUG
RNAcentral lists this ribosomal RNA (375 nucleotides) under uncultured organism. RNAcentral describes it as "partial 16S ribosomal RNA". It matches the Rfam family "Bacterial small subunit ribosomal RNA", at positions 527 to 896 of the family's 1533-position model. The record is from RNAcentral.